This is a long non-coding RNA of Vigna unguiculata (cowpea), 613 nucleotides long. RefSeq lists it as uncharacterized. The record is from RefSeq and is a predicted model, not a curated record. Lineage: Eukaryota; Viridiplantae; Streptophyta; Magnoliopsida; Fabales; Fabaceae.
CUAUUUUGUUGUAUCAUCGAUUAAAGAACGUAUCUUCCCUGCUCAUUUUUUCUGGUCAUUUUCAUGGUAAUUUUCACUACACACAUCUUCAUGUCAUCUCUCUCGCUCAAGUUCGCAUUGUACCGUCUUGCUCACUUUGCGUCGUACUCUCUCUCGCUCACGUUCGUGUUGUGCUCUCUUCCAAAUCGGAGUUCAUUUUAACAUUGGAGUUGAAAAUUCCUGUUUCUAAAUACCUAGGUUGGAUUGAUCGAAAUCGAAGAGAAUAGGUCUCCAAUCGUCCUCUUAAUUCGGUUGUUUCAAGUUUGAGGGAAGCUUUAUGACUUGAAUAAGGAGCAUCAGAUGCGUCUUGAACAGAAGUCAAUCUUUCACAUGAAGAAGGUAUGGAGCAAUGAGAGUUGAUGGGCAAAACAACCAACAACAAAGAAAGACCAACAUCAAGGACAUGACCUAUUAGACAUUUAGAAUUUUACACUUGACUACGUUAUCAUUUAUAGAUUAUGUUUUAUUAGAUCUUGGUUAGGAUUAUAUCUUAUAGCUUUAAUUUGGACCGAGUUGUUGGGACUUUUUUGUUUGUAGCUUGAAUUUGGAAUGUUAUUAUCUUGGAUUUCGAUUU